RNAcentral lists this ribosomal RNA (318 nucleotides) under Triticum aestivum (bread wheat). Its description in RNAcentral is "partial small subunit ribosomal RNA". Lineage: Eukaryota; Viridiplantae; Streptophyta; Magnoliopsida; Poales; Poaceae. The record is from RNAcentral.
AUGCAAGGUAUGGCCCUGGCCAUUCAACACUCAAACUAUCCGUUGGUGUUACAAUCGGAUUCCUCUGAAGCGUUAUCAUGCCUAUCCACGGACGCUCUGCAGCGGUCAGCUUAUGGCCAAUUAGUCUUGGAGAUUAAACACUUAGCUGGUAGUAGGGAGUUUGUACCUCAGAAACUUAGUCGUUCUCAGAAUAGAGUUGCCGAUCGUUUGGCAAACUAUAGCCGAUUGGAGCGAGCCACCGUUGUCUGGCUUCGCACAAUACCGCCUUGUAUUGACGACCUGUGGCCUCUCGACUGUAACUCUAUGAACUUGCAAUAA